RNAcentral lists this ribosomal RNA (433 nucleotides) under uncultured bacterium. RNAcentral describes it as "partial 16S ribosomal RNA". It matches the Rfam family "Bacterial small subunit ribosomal RNA", at positions 29 to 507 of the family's 1533-position model. The record is from RNAcentral.
AACGAACGCUGGCGGCAGGCCUAACACAUGCAAGUCGAGCGAGCAUUUCGGUGCUAGCGGCGGACGGGUGAGUAACGCGUGGGAACGUGCCCUUUUCUGCGGAAUAGUCCUGGGAAACUGGGGGUAAUACCGCAUACGCCCUUUUGGGGAAAGAUUUAUCGGAGAAGGAUCGGCCCGCGUUGGAUUAGGUAGUUGGUGGGGUAAUGGCCCACCAAGCCGACGAUCCAUAGCUGGUGUGAGAGGAUGAUCAGCCACACUGGGACUGAGACACGGCCCAGACUCCUACGGGAGGCAGCAGUGGGGAAUCUUAGACAAUGGGGGCAACCCUGAUCUAGCCAUGCCGCGUGAGUGAUGAAGGCCUUAGGGUUGUAAAGCUCUUUCAGCUGGGAAGAUAAUGACGGUACCAGCAGAAGAAGCCCCGGCUAACUCCGUG